GUUUUUAUAAUUUAAUUAAAAUAUUAGUCUUGUAAACUAAAAAUAAGUAGCUUCUUUAAAAACU
RNAcentral lists this transfer RNA (64 nucleotides) under Ochthebius colveranus. RNAcentral's name for it is "tRNA-Thr". It matches the Rfam family "tRNA". Rfam says of the family: Transfer RNA (tRNA) molecules are approximately 80 nucleotides in length. Their secondary structure includes four short double-helical elements and three loops (D, anti-codon, and T loops). Lineage: Eukaryota; Metazoa; Arthropoda; Insecta; Coleoptera; Hydraenidae. The record is from RNAcentral.